RNAcentral lists this ribosomal RNA (790 nucleotides) under uncultured bacterium. Its description in RNAcentral is "bacterial SSU rRNA". It matches the Rfam family "Bacterial small subunit ribosomal RNA", at positions 8 to 796 of the family's 1533-position model. The record is from RNAcentral.
AGAGUUUGAUCCUGGCUCAGAUUGAACGCUGGCGGCGUGCUUAACACAUGCAAGUCGAGCGGUAACGCGGGAGCAAUCCUGGCGACGAGCGGCGAACGGGUGAGUAAUGCUUCGGAAUCUACCCAAUAGUGGGGAAUAACCUGGGGAAACUCAGGCUAAUACCGCAUACGACUACGGGUGAAAGCAGGGGAUCGCAAGACCUUGCGCUAUCGGAUGAGCCGAAGUCGGAUUAGCUAGUUGGUGGGGUAAAGGCCUACCAAGGCGACGAUCCGUAGCUGGUCUGAGAGGACGACCAGCCACACUGGGACUGAGACACGGCCCAGACUCCUACGGGAGGCAGCAGUGGGGAAUAUUGGACAAUGGGGGCAACCCUGAUCCAGCGACGCCGCGUGUGUGAAGAAGGCCUGCGGGUUGUAAAGCACUUUUAGUGGGGAUGAAAAGCCAAGGGCUAAUACCCUUUGGUCUUGACCUAACCCACAGAAAAAGCACCGGCUAACUCUGUGCCAGCAGCCGCGGUAAUACAGAGGGUGCAAGCGUUAAUCGGAAUUACUGGGCGUAAAGCGUACGUAGGCGGUUAUCUAAGUCGGGUGUGAAAGCCCCGGGCUCAACCUGGGAAUUGCAUUCGAUACUGGAUAGCUAGAGUUCGGCAGAGGGAAGCGGAAUUUCCGGUAGCGGUGAAAUGCGUAGAUAUCGGAAGGAACAUCAGUGGCGAAAGCGGCUUCCUGGACCAGAACUGACGCUCAGGUACGAAAGCGUGGGGAGCAAACAGGAUUAGAUACCCUAGUAGUCC